CAAAUCUUCAUAUCUAGCUUCAUGCAACAUUAUUUAGGUAUGCUCUUGCCUUGGAUGGUGUGUGAUAGCAAGUAACACCAGCAACAUGAAUUAUUUGUGGUCAACUGCAUAUUGAAAAUGGAGUUUACAGGAUUCAGUGUAGUAGUAACUUUGAGCCCAGGGACAUAUACCUUUUUUUGCAGUGACAAUGGGGUGGUAUAGAAUCUUACUCCAUAAUGCGCUUCCAACCCCCAGCUCAGCACAAGAUGAAGGAGAUGUGCAGUACCAGGAAAUAUUCUUCAAGAGGACCAAACAGUUGGUGGUUAAGAAGCCCUACACCACUUUCGGCAGAGCCUUAUCCAGCUGGCCAUUCACCGCAGACAGGACAAGCCCAUCGCCAUUGCACAAAGAGUCUCCGCUUCCCCAGUGCACCAUGCCAAACACAAUUGCCAGUGUACCGAAGCCAGAUAAAGGACUAUGGCUGCAUUUACACAGGCAGCCCAAUUCUGAUAUUUUUUCACUAAUGGGUCUUUUGAUCAAUCAGAUCAGCUCUGAAAAAGAUCUGUUGUGAAAAAAUAGCAGAAUUGGGCUGUGUGUGUAAACGCAGACGGUGUGAUUCAGCAUAAGAUCAUGUAGAACACACUGGAGGAUGGCUCAUAAUAAUGGCCAGGACGGAGCAAAUGGAAUGGUAUCAAACACAUUGAAACUGUUUGUAUUUGAUAUCGUUCCACUCUAGCCAUCACCAUGAGCCCGUCAUCCUCAAUUAAGGUGUCUCCAACCCUGUUUCUGCAGAACUACCCUCCUGUAGGUUUAUGCUCCUACCCUAGUUGUAACUAACCUAGUUCCUUUUUUAAAAACCAGCUAAUUAGACUCAGGUGUGCUAGGUUACUACAGUGCUACAGGAUGGGAGCUCUCCAAGAACAGGGUUGGAGAGCCCUGAUUUAGAACCCCCAUCAAAUAAAUAUAGAUAUUUUCUAUUAGUCUUUUAAAUUUGUCUGCCCUUAUGAAUUCACAGAAGACAUUUAUAUUAAAACUGUACAGGGCUCUGUAGCAUCAAACAGAUGCUAGACAUUCAGAUAUCCUCUGUAGACUCUACAGAUGGGACUUAUUCACCAUAAUAACCUCCUUAACCAAGCCUCAGAGCGUCAGGGACUGACUGGGCCAACCCAACAGCAGGUCCCUCACAAUGAGGGGUGGGCUUCAGCUUGGCACACAAUUCCAAAACCACAUGCUUGGGCUAUAUGGAGAUUAGCAUAAGUGCUAUGUACUGGUUGUGCAUCCCACCUAAACUUAUCUGUAAUUACUGUAUUGGGCUGGAGUUCUGCUCUUGUUAGUGUAUUUUUAAAAAUACUAUGCAUUUUUGGUGUCCUGUUGUGCAUAUAAAAUAUGCUAUGAAGCAAUGAUGCCCAAGCUGCGCAAAUAUUUGGAACUCAUUGUACAAGAUGAGAUGUUAUAUUUUACAUAAUUUAUUAAAAAAAAAAUAUAUAUAUAUAUAUAUAUAUAUGCAUAAUAUGUGCAGUAGAGUGGGAAAGUUUGAUGAGAAUAAAGACUCAGUUGUGGUACCCCUUUGGGUGGAUCAUAGUGCAAAAACAUUUUAGGGACCAUGGCCACAAGCAACACAUACUCCCUCUGUUGGACUCCUAUGAUAAGGCACUUGCAUCACUCAGUUACUGUUGCUGAUAAAACAUUGUAUGAACAUCAUUGCAUUGUUCGUAAUAAUGUUGAAAACGACUGAUUCUCUCUCAGUUGUAACUGAGUACCUGUAUAUUAACUAUAGACAGACCAAAUCAACAAAGUGGUAAUGAAUAGUAUUAGUGAUCUGGACGCACCUUUUUUAAAUAAACAGAUUUGGUGUAACAUGACAAGGGAAUGGAAUGGAGUACUAUCAAGUCAUUUGUUGACACAAAAAAACUCAUGAUUUUUAAAUAUCCAGUACACAUGGUCUGUUUAUCCGCCACCAGCAGAGAGCGCCAUUUCCACUUUAACCUCAACUAGCCUGGACCGCCACUCUUCGCAACUUGAUGUUUUAUUUUGUUAGUUGUGAGGACGACGCUUCAAUGGCACUUUUGUUUUGAAGAGAAAAGUCAAGCGAAAGGUUGAUGCAGCGUUUAGCUAGCUACCUACCGAGGUUGACUAGCUAGGUGGCUUGCUUAGUUGCUGCCUCAAGCUUCUUUUAAUCACACCGACAGAGUCAUUGAGUUUUGUUUGGUACACCAGAAGUAUACUGAACCAAAAUAAAAACGCAACAUGCAACAAUUUCAAAGAUUUUACUGAGUUACAGAUCAUAUAAGGAAAGCAGUCAACUUAAAUAAAUAAAUUGGGCCUUAAUCUAUGGAUUUCACAUGACUCGGCAGGGGUGCAGCCAUGAAUGGUCCUUGGAGGGCACACAUCCAGUAAAAAUGUUGGAUUACAUAAUGAAUAGUGCUGAACAAUUGGUGCUUUUUGUGGUCGUUCAUGUUCAAUUAUUAAAAUAAUCACUGUUUUCAAUUUCGAUCAUUUUGUAGACAGUAAAUGCACUAUGCAUUAUGUGGGUUGAAUGCUAUAACAAAAUAAAACAAAAGUAGUGACGGCC
This is a long non-coding RNA of Oncorhynchus tshawytscha (Chinook salmon), 2551 nucleotides long. The record is from Ensembl. Lineage: Eukaryota; Metazoa; Chordata; Actinopteri; Salmoniformes; Salmonidae.